This 491-nucleotide ribosomal RNA is filed under the name uncultured bacterium. Its description in RNAcentral is "partial 16S ribosomal RNA". It matches the Rfam family "Bacterial small subunit ribosomal RNA", at positions 29 to 506 of the family's 1533-position model. The record is from RNAcentral.
AGUGAACGCUGGCGGUAGGCCUAACACAUGCAAGUCGAACGGCAGCACAGUAAGAGCUUGCUCUUACGGGUGGCGAGUGGCGGACGGGUGAGGAAUACAUCGGAAUCUACUUUUUCGUGGGGGAUAACGUAGGGAAACUUACGCUAAUACCGCAUACGACCUACGGGUGAAAGCAGGGGAUCUUCGGACCUUGCGCGAUUGAAUGAGCCGAUGUCGGAUUAGCUAGUUGGCGGGGUAAAGGCCCACCAAGGCGACGAUCCGUAGCUGGUCUGAGAGGAUGAUCAGCCACACAGGAAAUGAGACACGGUCCAGACUCCGACGGGAGGCAGCAGUGGGGAAUAUUGGACAAUGGGCGCAAGCCUGAUCCAGCCAUACCGCGUGGGUGAAGAAGGCCUUCGGGUUGUAAAGCCCUUUUGUUGGGAAAGAAAAGCAGCAGGUUAAUACCCCGCUGUUCUGACGGUACCCAAAGAAUAAGCACCGGCUAACUUCGU